UCCCUGGUCGCUCAGUGGUAAAGAGUCUGCCUGCCAAUGCAGAAGACACAGGUUCGAGCCCUGAUCCGGGAA
This is a transfer RNA of Ovis aries (sheep), 72 nucleotides long. It matches the Rfam family "tRNA". From Rfam's summary of the family: Transfer RNA (tRNA) molecules are approximately 80 nucleotides in length. Their secondary structure includes four short double-helical elements and three loops (D, anti-codon, and T loops). NCBI's taxonomy places the organism in Eukaryota, Metazoa, Chordata, Mammalia, Artiodactyla, Bovidae. The record is from Rfam.